GGCUCAGAACGAACGCUGGCGGCGCGUUUAAGCAUGCAAGUCGAGCGGCAAGGGCCUUCGGGCCCCUAGAGCGGCGGACGGGUGAGUAACACGUGGACAAUCUGCCCCCCGGCCCGGGAUAGCCCAGGGAAACCUGGAUUAAUACCGGAUGAGACGGGACCCGCGAUGGCGGGAUCCGGGAAAGGCGCUGCGGCGCCGCCGGGGGAUGAGUCUGCGUCCCAUUAGCUAGACGGCGGGGUAACGGCCCACCGUGGCGACGAUGGGUAGCCGGCCUGAGAGGGUGGACGGCCACAUUGGAACUGAGACACGGUCCAGACUCCUACGGGAGGCAGCAGCUAAGAAUCUUCCGCAAUGGGCGAAAGCCUGACGGAAGCGACGCCGCGUGAACGAAGAAGGCCGUGAGGUUGUAAAGUUCUUUUCGGGAGGGGGAACAACCGUGGCAGGGAAUGGCCGCGGGAUGACGUGAAUCCCGGAAUAAGCCCCGGCUAACUACGUGCCAGCCGCGGC
This 507-nucleotide ribosomal RNA is filed under the name uncultured bacterium. RNAcentral describes it as "bacterial SSU rRNA". It matches the Rfam family "Bacterial small subunit ribosomal RNA", at positions 21 to 518 of the family's 1533-position model. The record is from RNAcentral.